Molecule: long non-coding RNA, 300 nt
Organism: Saccostrea cuccullata (small rock oyster)
Lineage: Eukaryota; Metazoa; Mollusca; Bivalvia; Ostreida; Ostreidae
Exons: 3
Source: RefSeq, a predicted model, not a curated record
UUUGGAUGACCUCUACUCUGAUAUUCCUUUGAAUACGCAUGUCCCACAGAAACAAAUUUGGAACAUGUCGUAUGGUUUUAUCAACUUGCCGUUUGUAAAGGAAUAUAGAAUACAUUUCCGAGCAUUAAUUUUAGACGGAACGUGGAGUCUUGCUAUGUUAGAUGACGUAACUAUUCUUUACAUGGUAUGUUAUGAUACAUGUCCGGUGCAGUUUUUCCAAUGUCGAAGCUCGGAAUGCAUUCCCCCUGAUCAAAUAUGUGAUGAUAUAUAUCACUGUGCCGAUAAAUCAGACGAGCAGUU